UUUCCGUAGGUGAACCUACGGAAGGAUCAUUAAAAAUGAAGCCGGGAAACCGGUCCUUCUAACCCUUGAUUAUCUUAAUUUGUUGCUUUGGUGGGCCGCGCAAGCACCGGCUUCGGCUGGAUCGUGCCCGCCAGAGGACACAACUCUGUAUCAAAUGUCGUCUGAGUACUAUAAAAUAGUUAAAACUUUCAACAACGGAUCUCUUGGUUCUG
RNAcentral lists this unclassified non-coding RNA (212 nucleotides) under plant metagenome. RNAcentral describes it as "partial contains small subunit ribosomal RNA, internal transcribed spacer 1, and 5.8S ribosomal RNA". The record is from RNAcentral.